Molecule: ribosomal RNA, 134 nt
Filed under: uncultured eukaryote
Lineage: Eukaryota
Description: partial 18S ribosomal RNA
Rfam family: Eukaryotic small subunit ribosomal RNA
Source: RNAcentral
UCGUGGAGCGAUUUGUCUGGUUUAUUCCGAUAACGAGCGAGACUCUAGCUUACUAAAUAGUCUUGCCUUUGUUUUGAGGCCUGACUUCUUAGAAGGAUUUUCGGUGUUUAGCCGCACGAGAUUGAGCAAUAACA